This 253-nucleotide ribosomal RNA is filed under the name uncultured bacterium. RNAcentral describes it as "partial 16S ribosomal RNA". It matches the Rfam family "Bacterial small subunit ribosomal RNA", at positions 524 to 776 of the family's 1533-position model. The record is from RNAcentral.
UACAGGGGGGGCAAGCGUUGUUCGGAAUUACUGGGCGUAAAGGGCUUGUAGGCGGCCGAUUAAGUCCGACGUGAAAUCCCCAGGCUUAACCUGGGAACUGCGUCGGAUACUGAUUGGCUUGAAUCCGGGAGAGGGAUGCGGAAUUCCGGGUGUAGCGGUGGAAUGCGUAGAGAUCCGGAAGAACACCGGUGGCGAAGGCGGCUCUCUGGGACGGUACUGACGCUGAGACGCGAAAGCGUGGGGAGCGAACAGG